This 305-nucleotide ribosomal RNA is filed under the name uncultured bacterium. RNAcentral describes it as "bacterial SSU rRNA". It matches the Rfam family "Bacterial small subunit ribosomal RNA", at positions 339 to 642 of the family's 1533-position model. The record is from RNAcentral.
CUACGGGAGGCAGCAGUGAGGAAUAUUGGUCAAUGGUCGGGAGACUGAACCAGCCAAGCCGCGUGAGGGAUGAAGGUACAGAGUAUCGUAAACCUCUUUUGUCAGGGAACAAAGGCGGGGACGUGUCCCCGGAUGAGUGUACCUGAAGAAAAAGCAUCGGCUAACUCCGUGCCAGCAGCCGCGGUAAUACGGAGGAUGCGAGCGUUAUCCGGAUUUAUUGGGUUUAAAGGGUGCGCAGGCGGUCUGUUAAGUCAGCGGUCAAAGCCCGGGGCUCAACCCCGGCCCGCCGUUGAAACUGGCAGUCC